This 73-nucleotide transfer RNA is filed under the name Staphylococcus aureus. RNAcentral's name for it is "tRNA-Lys(ttt)". The stretch from base 9 to 66 matches the Rfam family "tRNA", at positions 8 to 63 of the family's 71-position model. Rfam says of the family: Transfer RNA (tRNA) molecules are approximately 80 nucleotides in length. Their secondary structure includes four short double-helical elements and three loops (D, anti-codon, and T loops). Further hydrogen bonds mediate the characteristic L-shaped molecular structure. tRNAs have two regions of fundamental functional importance: the anti-codon, which is responsible for specific mRNA codon recognition, and the 3' end, to which the tRNAs corresponding amino acid is attached (by aminoacyl-tRNA synthetases). tRNAs cope with the degeneracy of the genetic code in two manners: having more than one tRNA (with a specific anti-codon) for a particular amino acid; and 'wobble' base-pairing, i.e. permitting non-standard base-pairing at the 3rd anti-codon position. The record is from RNAcentral. Lineage: Bacteria; Bacillati; Bacillota; Bacilli; Caryophanales; Staphylococcaceae.
AGCCGGCCUAGCUCAAUUGGUAGAGCAACUGACUUUUAAUCAGAGGGUCAGAGGUUCGAAUCCUCUAUGGCUC